GGCUUCGUAGCUCAACGGAAUCAGAGCGCAAGAAUACGAAUCUUGAGGUUGCGGGUUCAAAUCCUGCCGAAGUCGCCA
Molecule: transfer RNA, 78 nt
Filed under: soil metagenome
Also listed under: 1 other name
Rfam family: tRNA
About the family: Transfer RNA (tRNA) molecules are approximately 80 nucleotides in length.
Source: RNAcentral